Molecule: microRNA, 23 nt
Filed under: Ornithorhynchus anatinus (platypus)
Lineage: Eukaryota; Metazoa; Chordata; Mammalia; Monotremata; Ornithorhynchidae
Description: oan-miR-7427-5p
Source: miRBase by way of RNAcentral
UGGUGAGAACAAGAAACGCGGCG